This 407-nucleotide ribosomal RNA is filed under the name uncultured bacterium. RNAcentral describes it as "partial 16S ribosomal RNA". It matches the Rfam family "Bacterial small subunit ribosomal RNA", at positions 30 to 526 of the family's 1533-position model. The record is from RNAcentral.
AUUGAACGCUGGCGGCAGGCCUAACACAUGCAAGUCGAGCGGAGCGGCGGACGGGUGAGUAAUGCCUAGGAAUCUGCCUGGUAGUGGGGGAUAACGUCCGGAAACGGGCGCUAAUACCGCAUACUAUCAGAUGAGCCUAGGGCGGAUUAGCUAGUUGGUGGGGUAAAGGCCUACCAAGGCGACGAUCCGUAACUGGUCUGAGAGGAUGAUCAGUAACACUGGAACUGAGACACGGUCCAGACUCCUACGGGAGGCAGCAGUGGGGAAUAUUCGGCAAUGGGCGAAAGCCUGACCGAGCCAUGCCGCGUGUGUGAAGAAGGUCUUCGGAUUGUAAAGCACUGUUAGUUGGGAGGCGUUACCUACAGAGUAAGCAACGGCUAACUUCGUGCCAGCAGCCGCGGUAAUAC